Molecule: long non-coding RNA, 213 nt
Filed under: Salvia miltiorrhiza (redroot sage)
Lineage: Eukaryota; Viridiplantae; Streptophyta; Magnoliopsida; Lamiales; Lamiaceae
Description: long non-coding RNA (SMIL_LNC000216)
Source: RNAcentral
GGAGGUGAUUGGUAUGAUGGAAUGGAGGUGGGAAUGGAAUGAUGAUUCUUACCUCCAUUCCAUUCCUAUGCUUGGUAUAGUUUUAUUUUAGGAAUCACCAUUCUUAAGGGAAUCACCAUUCCUUUACAUAUAGGAAUCACCAUUCCUUCCCUCCCACAUGGUAUUACCCAUUCCAUUCCAUUUCUAAUUCACCUAAAUUUAGGUUUUGACAAA